This 387-nucleotide long non-coding RNA is filed under the name Equus asinus (donkey). RNAcentral's name for it is "lncRNA (ENSEASG00005033541.1)". Lineage: Eukaryota; Metazoa; Chordata; Mammalia; Perissodactyla; Equidae. The record is from RNAcentral.
GGGAUAUUUUGGAGACAAGGAUGGGGCUCCAGUGCUUCCCCUAAGGACUGCUAGUCUCUCUCCUACAUGUCUCUUCCAUUAUCUCUGCUUGCUCUCCAGCAUUCAGGAUCUCAAAAUGGUGGCUGCUAAAUCCUCAACCACAUGAUCUCUGGGGUCCAUGUACCCACAGACCAACUCCAUCUCAGCAGGAUCACUGUGUGUGGUUCGGCAGUUUGGGCCUAAGAGAGCCCAGUUGGGCCAAGAGGGCAGAAUGGGCUUUCCAAGGCGGGAACUAUGAGCAAAGGGUUUGUUUAUGGAAAUCCAAAAAGACAGUUAAGGAGGCUGGCCAGAGGCCCCCUCUCAUCUCCUUCUGGAAGCUUUACUCCCAGGAGCCCCUUCUCCUUCAAG